AACACGUGGUGACCUGCCUCUGAGUGGGGAUAACGUUUCGAAAGGAACGCUAAUACCGCAUGACAUCCUGCCUUUGGACAGGCGGAGAUCAAAGCCGGGGAUCGCAAGACCUGGCGCUUGGAGAGGGGCCCGCGUCCGAUUAGCUAGUUGGUGGGGUAACGGCUCACCAAGGCGACGAUCGGUAUCCGGCCUGAGAGGGCGGACGGACACACUGGGACUGAGACACGGCCCAGACUCCUACGGGAGGCAGCAGUGGGGAAUUGUUCGCAAUGGGCGCAAGCCUGACGACGCAACGCCGCGUGGAGGAUGAAGGUCUUCGGAUUGUAAACUCCUGUUGAUCGGGACGAAUAACCAUCGGGAUAACACCCCGGAGGUCUGACGGUACCG
This 387-nucleotide ribosomal RNA is filed under the name grassland soil clone saf2_112. Its description in RNAcentral is "bacterial SSU rRNA". It matches the Rfam family "Bacterial small subunit ribosomal RNA", at positions 112 to 480 of the family's 1533-position model. The record is from RNAcentral.